This 301-nucleotide ribosomal RNA is filed under the name uncultured bacterium. Its description in RNAcentral is "partial 16S ribosomal RNA". It matches the Rfam family "Bacterial small subunit ribosomal RNA", at positions 509 to 807 of the family's 1533-position model. The record is from RNAcentral.
CAGUCGCCACGGUAACACCGAGGGUGCGAGCGUUAAUCGGAUUUACUGGGCGUAAAGCGUGCGUAGGCGGCUUUUUAAGUCGGAUGUGAAAUCCCUGAGCUUAACUUAGGAAUUGCAUUCGAUACUGGGAAGCUAGAGUAUGGGAGAGGAUGGUAGAAUUCCAGGUGUAGCGGUGAAAUGCGUAGAGAUCUGGAGGAAUACCGAUGGCGAAGGCAGCCAUCUGGCCUAAUACUGACGCUGAGGUACGAAAGCAUGGGGAGCAAACAGGAUUAGAUACCCCUGUAGUCCCUGUCUCUUAUAC